AAGUUAAGGCCAAACAUAAUUUUUGUUAAAUUAAUUAUAAAUGAGAUCAUGAAACCAAAGAGCAGAUCAGAUAUAUGUUUGCAAAGGAAGGGCAACCAUCAUGUCCCCCAGCUCCAUUCGUACUACAGUUUAUCAGGUAUUGUAAGUAGUCUAGAGAUUAUUUAAAGUACUCGGGGGGAUAGGCAUAAGUUAUAUGCAAAAGACUAUGCCAUUUUAUGUCAGGAACUUGAGUGUCCUCCGGUUUUGGUAUUUGCAGGGAUCCUGGGACCAAUCCCUCUCCGAUACCAAGUAAUGACUGUACUCGGUUUCUAACUAACCAGUCCUUAUGUUUUUAUAAAGGUGAGUUUAAAUGGAAGCUUCUUAGCCCUAAUCAUCACCAGUUGUUGACAUGACCUUUGUAUUAGUGAAUAUGUUGAAAGUAAGAUGUAGCUCAAAAACCACUUUCCUCCAGGUUGCCCUGGCUAAUAUUUAAGCUUGAUUUUUGACAAACAGCGUAGAUACAAAGCUAGAUCUACUUGGUCCCACUACUUCUUAGCAAUAAAAUCCCAUAUGGAGAUUUGUAACCCCAAGUGUUUCCCUUCUAGAACUGAUGUGAUUGUGUGAUCCGCGCGAAUCAGAGUCUGCGGGGGCGAGCUUGGUUCUGGUCCCGCUACAGCAGGACGGAGCUACUGAGGCACGGUCACGGUCAUGAGUGCCCUUGGGGAGGUCAGGGAGGGGGCGGAGGGGAUACGUACUACUCCAUGACCAGGACAAUGUCGUUCUUAGACUCGAAGGCAUCGUACAGCUGGAUGAGGUUCGCGUGGUCCAGCUGGUUCAUGACGCUGAUCUCGUUCUUCACCUCCUCCUGAGAAGCAGGAAACAGUGCAUUAGUGUGGUCAAGAUGGGGCGGGGAGGGAGGGGACCACCUCCCACAGGCUGUACCUUGUCCUUCAUGCCUCUGGUCUUGAUGAUUUUGGCUGCCAGCUUCAGACCUGUGGCCGUCUCCUCACACUUGUGAACCUGGCCGAAACGCCCUCUGCCAAAAAGAGGAAGCGGCGUAGCAUGAGGCCCUGUGGUCAGCUGCCGAGUGGACAGCGCACAGUGGCCCCAGUAUUUCUCCUGCUGAGUCUGGAUGAGCAGCCCUCUGAGGAGUUCUUUCAGUAAACUUCUAGAGCAGUAUUUGUCAACAUGUGGUGUGUGGAUCACUUGCAUCAGAAUCACCUGGGAGCUGUUAAGAAAGCAGGUCUCGGCCGGGCACGGUGGCUCACACCUGUAAUCCCAGCACUUUGGGAGGCCGAGGCGGGAGGAUCACGAGGUCAGGACCAGUCUGGCCAACAUAGUGAAACCCCAUCUCUGCUAAAAAUACAAAUACAAAAAAUUAGCCAGAUGUGAUGGCAUGUGUCUGUAGUCCCAGCUACUCGGGAGGCUGAGGCAGGAGAACGGCGUGAACCCAGGAGGCGGAGGUUGCAGUGGGCCGAGAUCGCGCCAUUGCACUCCAGCCUGGGCGACAGUGCAAGAAUCCAUCUCAAAAAAAAAAAAAAAGAAGAAAGAAAGAAAGAAAAAAAAAAAGAAUCCAGGAUUCUGGGCCCUACCCCAGACCUCCUGAGGCAGGAAUCCAGGGGUAGGCCCCAGAAUCUGCAUUUCAGCACAUUUCUUGGGUGAUUCAUAUGCACCCUCACAUUUGAGAACCACCUUUACAGACAAUGCAGAAUCCUUCUGAAUACAUAUGAAUGUUAUGAG
Molecule: long non-coding RNA, 1719 nt
Filed under: Homo sapiens (human)
Lineage: Eukaryota; Metazoa; Chordata; Mammalia; Primates; Hominidae
Description: long non-coding RNA NONHSAT106722.2
Source: RNAcentral